Molecule: ribosomal RNA, 747 nt
Filed under: uncultured bacterium
Lineage: Bacteria
Description: bacterial SSU rRNA
Rfam family: Bacterial small subunit ribosomal RNA
Source: RNAcentral
GUUUAACGCUGGCGGCGUGCCUAAUACAUGCAAGUCGAACGGAACACUAUUUUUGAGAACCUCGCUCCUUUGCGGGAUUGUCAUCAGUAGUGUUUAGUGGCGGACGGGUGAGUAACACGUUGGUACCUGCCCUUUAGUGGGGAAUAACUCGACGAAAGUCGGGCUAAUACCGCAUGUGAUCCUUCGGGAUUAAAGCCUUCGGGCGCUAAAGGAGGGGCCUGCGUCUGAUUAGCUUGUUGGUAAGGUAAUGGCUUACCAAGGCGAUGAUCAGUAGCUGGUUCGAGAGGAUGAUCAGCCACACUGGAACUGAGAUACGGUCCAGACUCCUACGGGAGGCAGCAGUAAGGAAUCUUCCGCAAUGGACGAAAGUCUGACGGAGCAACGCCGCGUGCAGGAUGAAGGCUUUCGGGUCGUAAACUGCUUUUGUAUGGGAAGAUUAUGACGGUACCAUACGAAUAAGGACCGGCUAACUACGUGCCAGCAGCCGCGGUAAUACGUAGGGUCCAAGCGUUAUCCGGAAUUACUGGGCGUAAAGCGUCUGUAGGCGGAUUGUUAAGUGCAUCGCGAAAUCCUGUGGCUCAACCAUAUGGACUGUGAUGCAUACUGGCAAUCUAGAGGAUGGCAGAGGCAAGUGGAAUUACCGGUGUAGCAGUGAAAUGCGUAGAUAUCGGUAGGAACACCAAUGGCGAAGGCAGCUUGCUGGGCCAUUUCUGACGCUAAGAGACGAAAGCGUGGGGAGCGAACAGG